Anguilla anguilla (European eel) is the source of this 651-nucleotide long non-coding RNA. RefSeq lists it as uncharacterized. The transcript has 3 exons. The record is from RefSeq and is a predicted model, not a curated record. NCBI's taxonomy places the organism in Eukaryota, Metazoa, Chordata, Actinopteri, Anguilliformes, Anguillidae.
UGGAUUAAAUCACUACGGUCUAUGAUUAAAUCGUUAAGGGACGUGCGUAAACUCUCCGAACUCUUUUCUCUUAUGCAUCUGGAUCUCACAGUGUAACGCCAAGUCUCAAGUCUAGUGAAGUGUGUUAAUAACAUAACAUUGAAAAGUUAAUCAAACAGGCCACGCGUGCUGGCGCCGUGCAAGCGUCUCGUUCAGUUACAGACCUGCGGUCCUUUAAAACGUUAAACGAUAGUUUUACUGUUAGCAUCUGUUUUACCGUACGCUAUUAUGCAGCUACCAGUAGGUGGUUUGCAAACUCAAAUUCAAGUUGAUUUGUUGGUAGCUACCUACAGCCAAUUAUGACCAAUAUUUGUCAACUGUCAUUUUUUUUAAACGUGAUUCAACUAUUGCAGAUACAGAAAUCCAUUGCAGGGGAUGGAUGUAGUGCAUUCGCUGGAGUUGGCUGAACAAUGUCCUGAAUCCAGGUGGCGGAGGAUAAGAGGCGGAAGGCAGAAGGUGAAGUGGCCGACAGAAGGAGCUGGAGCCUUCUUACGUGGUUCGAUAGCCGGACGACCGGGAACACAGGAUCUCUCAGCAGCGCGGAGAGCUUGGGCAGAGCCAGCCAGAGCCCCAGGAAGGACACAUCCAUCUCCUGCGUCUGCGGAGGGACCC